GAUGAACGCUAGCUACAGGCUUAACACAUGCAAGUCGAGGGGAAACGAUAGAGAAAGCUUGCUUUUUCUAGGCGUCGACCGGCGCACGGGUGAGUAACGCGUAUCCAACCUGCCCACCACUUGGGGAUAACCUUGCGAAAGUAAGACUAAUACCCAAUGACGUCUCUAGAAGACAUCUGAAAGAGAUUAAAGAUUUAUCGGUGAUGGAUGGGGAUGCGUCUGAUUAGCUUGUUGGCGGGGUAACGGCCCACCAAGGCGACGAUCAGUAGGGGUUCUGAGAGGAAGGUCCCCCACAUUGGAACUGAGACACGGUCCAAACUCCUACGGGAGGCAGCAGUGAGGAAUAUUGGUCAAUGGGCGAGAGCCUGAUGCAGCAACGCCGCGUGGAGGAAGACGGUUUUCGGAUUGUAAACUCCUGUUCUUAGUGAAGAAUAAUGACGGUAGCUAAGGAGCAAGCCACGGCUAACUACGUG
Molecule: ribosomal RNA, 473 nt
Filed under: uncultured bacterium
Lineage: Bacteria
Description: bacterial SSU rRNA
Rfam family: Bacterial small subunit ribosomal RNA
Source: RNAcentral